Molecule: ribosomal RNA, 466 nt
Filed under: uncultured bacterium
Lineage: Bacteria
Description: partial 16S ribosomal RNA
Rfam family: Bacterial small subunit ribosomal RNA
Source: RNAcentral
GAUGAACGCUGGCGGCGUGCUUAACACAUGCAAGUCGAACGGAAAGGCUCCUGCUUGCAGGGGUACUCGAGUGGCGAACGGGUGAGUAACACGUGGGUGAUCUGCCCUGCACUUCGGGAUAAGCCUGGGAAACUGGGUCUAAUACCGGAUAGGACGAUGGUUUGGAUGCCAUUGUGGAAAGUUUUUUCGGUGUGGGAUGAGCUCGCGGCCUGUCAGCUUGUUGGUGGGGUAAUGGCCUACCAAGGCGUCGACGGGUAGCCGGCCUGAGAGGGUGUACGGCCACAUUGGGACUGAGAUACGGCCCAGACUCCUACGGGAGGCAGCAGUGGGGAAUAUUGCACAAUGGGCGCAAGCCUGAUGCAGCGACGCCGCGUGGGGGAUGACGGCCUUCGGGUUGUAAACUCCUUUCGCUAGGGACGAAGCGCAAGUGACGGUACCUGGAGAAGAAGCACCGGCUAACUACGUG